RNAcentral lists this ribosomal RNA (540 nucleotides) under Triticum aestivum (bread wheat). Its description in RNAcentral is "partial small subunit ribosomal RNA". The record is from RNAcentral. Lineage: Eukaryota; Viridiplantae; Streptophyta; Magnoliopsida; Poales; Poaceae.
AUGUCGAUGGCCGCCGCGCAGAUUCACCGCAGUCGAGGCCUGCUGGUGGUUGAACACCCCACCAAGGGCAACUUCGUCUUCGAGUUCAACCUCGACCGUCUAUUCUCCGGCGAACCCGACCAGGAGUUCCCACCGAUUCUCAACCUUCCCGACCCCGUCGCCAAGUUCAACAGCAUACAACCUACGGAAAACAUGGCCAUCACCGUCUCCGGCAACCUCAUCGUUGCCACCACCUCCCUCUCCCGGACUCUGCUCUACGACACCGGCUCGCGCUCCGCCUCCACCGGCCCGGACAUGCUGUCCGGCAAAAUCGAUAUCCUCCUCGUCCCCGUCGCAGACGGUACAUUCUUCGCCAUGUCCUUCUACCCACACCUCGACGACACUCCCCACGCCGAGCUUCUGGCUAGCAACACGGACGACGCCGGUGGUCGCUUGGCCUGGCACCCCAUCCCGGAUCUACCGCUGUCGUCCAUCCCUCGCCCUCGCUUCAAGAGGGAGUGGCACAUCUCGGGCUACUUUGUCGCUGGCACACGCGUCUAG